CCUACGGGAGUCCGCAGUGGGGGAUAUUGGACAAUGGGGGGGAACCCUGAUCCAGCGACGCCGCGUGAGUGAAAAAGUAUUUCGGUAUGUACAGCUCUGUCAGCAGGGAAGAAAGCAAUGACGGUACCUGACCAAGAAGCCCCGGCUAACUACGUGCAAGCAGCCGGGGUAAUACGUAGGGGGCAAGCGUUAUCCGGAAUUACUGGGUGUAACGGGAGCGUAGACGGCUGUGCAAGUCUGGAGUGAAAGGCGGGGGCCCAACCCCCGGACUGCUCUGGAAACUGUAUGGCUGGAGUGCAGGAGAGGUAAGCGGAAUUCCUAGGGUAGCGGUGAAAUGCGUAGAUAUUAGGAGGAACACCAGUGGCGAAGGCGGCUUACUGGACUGUAACUGACGUUGAGGCUCGAAAGCGUGGGGAGCAAACAGGAUUAGAUACCCGAGUAGUC
Molecule: ribosomal RNA, 444 nt
Filed under: uncultured bacterium
Lineage: Bacteria
Description: partial 16S ribosomal RNA
Rfam family: Bacterial small subunit ribosomal RNA
Source: RNAcentral